CUUUCAACAACGGAUCUCUUGGUUCCAGCAUCGAUGAAGAACGCAGCGAAAUGCGAUAAGUAAUGUGAAUUGCAGAAUUCAGUGAAUCAUCGAAUCUUUGAACGCACAUUGCGCCCCUCGGUAUUCCGGGGGGCAUGCCUGUUCGAGCGUCAUUACACCCCUCAAGCGUAGCUUGGUAUU
RNAcentral lists this ribosomal RNA (180 nucleotides) under Pseudephebe pubescens. RNAcentral's name for it is "5.8S ribosomal RNA". The stretch from base 1 to 152 matches the Rfam family "5.8S ribosomal RNA". From Rfam's summary of the family: 5.8S ribosomal RNA (5.8S rRNA) is a component of the large subunit of the eukaryotic ribosome. It is transcribed by RNA polymerase I as part of the 45S precursor that also contains 18S and 28S rRNA. The record is from RNAcentral. Lineage: Eukaryota; Fungi; Ascomycota; Lecanoromycetes; Lecanorales; Parmeliaceae. RNAcentral also lists the same sequence under 5 other names.